AUACGUAGGGGGCGAGCGUUGUCCGGAAUGAUUGGGCGUAAAGGGCGCGUAGGCGGCCUGUUAAGUCUGGAGUGAAAGUCCUGUUUUCAAGGUGGGAAUUGCUUUGGAUACUGCCGCGCUUGAGUGCAGGAGAGGUUAUCGGAAUUCCCGGUGUAGCGGUGAAAUGCGUAGAGAUCGGGAGGAACACCAGUGGCGAAGGCGGGUAACUGGACUGCAACUGACGCUGAGGCGCGAAAGUGUGGGGAGCAAACAGGAUUAGAUACCCUGGUAGUCCACACUGUAAACGAUGAAUGCUAGGUGUAAGAGGUAUCGACCCCUUUUGUGCCGGAGUCAACACAAUAAGCAUUCCGCCUGGGGAGUACGGCCGCAAGGUUGAAACUCAAAUGAAUUGGCGGGG
This 397-nucleotide ribosomal RNA is filed under the name uncultured bacterium. RNAcentral's name for it is "partial 16S ribosomal RNA". It matches the Rfam family "Bacterial small subunit ribosomal RNA", at positions 523 to 918 of the family's 1533-position model. The record is from RNAcentral.